AGGACAAACGCUGGCGGCGUGCAUAACACAUGCAAGUCGAACGAGUGCAGCAAUGCACGAGUGGCGGACGGGUGAGGAACACGUGGAUGAUCGACCCAGCGCUGGGGAAUACCCCUGGGAAACCAGGGCUAAUACCACAUGCGCUCUGCUGUGUCAGACAGCAGAGGAAAGCCUUCGGGCGGCGCUGGACGAGUCUGCGCCCGAUUAGCUCGUUGGCGGGUAACGGCCCACCAAGGCUGCGAUCGGUAGCUGGUCUGAGAGGAUGAUCAGCCACAUUGGGAUUGAGAACGGCCCAAAUCCCUACGGGGAGCAGCAGUGAGGAAUAUUCGGCAAUGGGCGCAAGCCUGACCGAGCGACGCCGCGUGCGGGACGACGCUUUUCGGAGUGUAAACCGCUUUUCUAUUCGACGAGACAGGACGGUAGAGUAGGAAGAAGUCUCGGCUAACUACGUGCCAGCAGCCGC
Molecule: ribosomal RNA, 463 nt
Filed under: uncultured bacterium
Lineage: Bacteria
Description: SSU rRNA
Rfam family: Bacterial small subunit ribosomal RNA
Source: RNAcentral